GAGUUCAAUAGUACGUGAAACCGUUCAGGGGUAAACCUGAGAAGCCCGAAAGGUCGAAAGAGGAGAUUCAGCGUGUCUCGACGGUGGCGCUGGACGGUCGCGAGACGGAAGGCGUACGCGUCGUCCGCUCCUUCCGUUCUUCGAACCGCCGUGGAACGCGUGCACUUCUCUUCCUGUAGGACGUUGCGAUCCGUUGGGUGCCGGUCUAAGGCCCGCGGUGGAGCCCGUCCGGACGGUUCGCCGUUCCGGACGAACCCGCGGUGUUUCCCGAUCGGCUCGCUCGACGGUAUACAUAUGGCGCGGGGCCGCUACACAUACAGUUAGCGUCCGACCCGUGGCAAGCGCGCUCGUCGUGAUGGUGAUCGGACCUGGUGCCGGUCCUGUCCCCGAGUGGCUGUUCGCUGCGGAGUUCUCGGACAGACCUCGUUGAAACGCCGAUCUGCGACGCUAUAGCUUUGGGUACUUUCAGGACCCGUCUUGAAACACGGACCAAGGAGUCUAGCAUGUGCGCGAGUCAUUGGGACAUGACUAAACCUAAAGGCGCAAUGAAAGUGAAAGUCCGCCUUGCGCGGACCGAGGGAGGAUGGGUGGCAGUUACGGCUGCCGCUCCGCACUCCCGGGGCGUCUCGUUCUCAUUGCGAGAAGAGGCGCACCAACAGCGUACACGCUGGGACCCGAAAGAUGGUGAACUAUGCCUGGUCAGGACGAAGUCAGGGGAAACCCUGAUGGAGGUCCGUAGCGAUUCUGACGUGCAAAUCGAUCGUCGGAACUGGGUAUAGGGGCGAAAGACUAAUCGAACCAU
Molecule: ribosomal RNA, 802 nt
Filed under: Onymacris lobicollis
Lineage: Eukaryota; Metazoa; Arthropoda; Insecta; Coleoptera; Tenebrionidae
Description: eukaryotic LSU rRNA
Rfam family: Eukaryotic large subunit ribosomal RNA
Source: RNAcentral